Molecule: long non-coding RNA, 1116 nt
Organism: Lates calcarifer (barramundi perch)
Lineage: Eukaryota; Metazoa; Chordata; Actinopteri; Centropomidae
Exons: 2
Source: RefSeq, a predicted model, not a curated record
AGAGAGAGGGAGAGAGAGGGAGCGAGAGAGAGAGAGAGAGAGAGACAGGAGUUGUGUAAAAGGGGCUGAAGUCCUACGCUGCCUUCUCCGCUGUCGCUGCGCCUAAAAGUAGGCUCUCCACCGCGUAUAUAAAUGCUGCCAAAGCGUCUUAUAUCGUGGAUGUAAAACAAAUCGACAGGCAGCGACACACCCUGCUGAAGGUCCAGGACUCCGCCGAGCGGUGGGCGAGGCAGCCUGAACUCCGCUGAACCGUUCAGAGGGGCUGUCCGCGCGCAGGGAGCGACCCGGCACGGUGGUCAAGGAAUGUGUGCAUCUAAAAGCAGGAGAAGGGAAGAGAAGGAGCUGCUGGUUUGUCCUUUGCUUAUAAACUGGCUUGUCCGUCACCCCAGGCUGUCUGUUUCAAACUCUCACGCUCGCUGGCUGACUCCCAGCUCUCUCCCUCACCCUCGGCCCCCAAAUGGCUGACACACAGCAGUUCUUCACUGGCAAGCUUUAUGUUCCUGUACACAUGCUAAAGCUGCCAGCUGAAGAACUGUUCUGGUCAGCCCUGCCCCGGAUGACUCAAGAAGAGGAAGCGAGGGGGGGUUGGGAAGGGUGGAAGAAGACUGAGGAAGGCACUGUUUCACACACUCAGUAGCCAAACUGGACUUCAGUAACCUGCUGGAUUUGAACCACCAUUGUUUAUAUUCUUGUGUUGAUCACAUGUAAGGUAGAUUUCACUUUAAGCAGGACAGAGUUUAUUUUUGUGUUUAAUUAUUGUCUUUUUCUCACAGAAAGCUGCUUAAACAGGAUAUCUGUAGGUCUUGAAAAGUCUUAGAAAGUAGUUAAGAUGUAAUUAUAAACUGGCUGGAAAGUACCACUGUUCCUGACCUUAUGUAAAAUUCAUUAGUUAAUUAAACAUUCCUUAAGUAAUUUUUUUUUUUUUUUUAAUUGUUAAUCCGUCCAGGUCCUGGUUGUGUUUAAUGAUUAAUUAAUAAUACAGGAAAUUAUUGCUGAGAAAGACAAAAAUGUGAUAUAAAUGUUUUCAUAUUUUGGUUAGUAUUAGUGUGAAACUGGUAUCAAAUUGCAUUCUCUGUGAUUGUUUUUUUUUUUCUUACAAUAAAGAACUAAAUAUUU